Molecule: non-coding RNA, 108 nt
Organism: Acanthosepion pharaonis
Lineage: Eukaryota; Metazoa; Mollusca; Cephalopoda; Sepiida; Sepiidae
Source: the annotation of a GenBank genome assembly
CCACGUCACGUUGAAACACCGAUUUUCGUACGAUCACCGAAGUUAAGAAACGUCGAGUCUGGUCAGUACCUCGAUGUUUGAGCAUUUGGGAAUACCAGGUGUUGUAAG